GAAAUACUCCCUCGGUCUGAAAAUACUUGUCAUAGGAAUGGAUGUAUCUAGAUGUAUGUCAGCUCUAGAUACAUUCAUUUUUAUCAAUUUGUGCGACAAGUAAUUCCGGACGGAGGGAGUACUAG
This is a non-coding RNA of Hordeum vulgare subsp. vulgare (domesticated barley), 125 nucleotides long. The record is from Rfam. Lineage: Eukaryota; Viridiplantae; Streptophyta; Magnoliopsida; Poales; Poaceae.